UGGGGAAUCUUGCACAAUGGGGGCAACCCUGAUGCAGCGACGCCGCGUGAGCGAUGAAGGUUUUCGAAUCGUAAAGCUCUGUCCUAUGGGAAGAUAAUGACGGUAUCAUAGGAGGAAGCCCUGGCUAAAUACGUGCCAGCAGCCGCGGUAAUACGUAUGGGGCGAGCGUUGUCCGGAAUUAUUGGGCGUAAAGGGUACGUAGGCGGUUUUUUAAGUCAGGUGUCAAAGCGUGGAGCUUAACUCCAUUAAGCACUUGAAACUGAAAGACUUGAGUGAAGGAGAGGAAAGUGGAAUUCCUAGUGUAGCGGUGAAAUGCGUAGAUAUUAGGAGGAAUACCGGUGGCGAAGGCGACUUUCUGGACUUUUACUGACGCUCAGGUACGAAAGCGUGGGGAGCAAACAGG
This 403-nucleotide ribosomal RNA is filed under the name Verrucomicrobiota bacterium. RNAcentral's name for it is "Verrucomicrobia bacterium partial 16S ribosomal RNA". It matches the Rfam family "Bacterial small subunit ribosomal RNA", at positions 355 to 776 of the family's 1533-position model. The record is from RNAcentral. Lineage: Bacteria; Pseudomonadati; Verrucomicrobiota.